GAUGAACGCUGGCGGCGUGCCUAAUACAUGCAAGUCGAGCGAACGGACGAGAAGCUUGCUUUUCUGAUGUUAGCGGCGGACGGGUGAGUAACACGUGGAUAACCUACCUAUAAGACUGGGAUAACUUCGGGAAACCGGGGCUAAUACCGGAUAAUAUUUUGAACCGCAUGGUUCAUAAGUGAAAGACGGUCUUGCUGUCACUUAUAGAUGGAUCCGCGCUGCAUUAGCUAGUUGGUAAGGUAACGGCUUACCAAGGCAACGAUGCAUAGCCGACCUGAGAGGGUGAUCGGCCACACUGGAACUGAGACACGGUCCAGACUCCUACGGGAGGCAGCAGUAGGGAAUCUUCCGCAAUGGGCGAAAGCCUGACGGAGCAACGCCGCGUGAGUGAUGAAGGUCUUCGGAUCGUAAAACUCUGUUAUUAGGGAAGAACAUAUGUGUAAGUAACUGUGCACAUCUUGACGGUACCUAAUCAGAAAGCCACGGCUAACUACGU
RNAcentral lists this ribosomal RNA (496 nucleotides) under uncultured bacterium. Its description in RNAcentral is "partial 16S ribosomal RNA". It matches the Rfam family "Bacterial small subunit ribosomal RNA", at positions 28 to 506 of the family's 1533-position model. The record is from RNAcentral.